RNAcentral lists this ribosomal RNA (256 nucleotides) under uncultured bacterium. Its description in RNAcentral is "partial 16S ribosomal RNA". It matches the Rfam family "Bacterial small subunit ribosomal RNA", at positions 524 to 776 of the family's 1533-position model. The record is from RNAcentral.
UACGUAGGGGGGCAAGCGUUGUCCGGAAUCAUUGGGCGUAAAGCGCGCGUAGGCGGCCCGGUAAGUCCGUUGUAAAAAGUCGAAGGCUCAACCUUCGAAAGCCGAUGGAUACUGCCGGGCUAGAGUACGGAAGAGGCGAGUAGAAUUCCUGGUGUAGCGGUGGAAUGCGCAGAUAUCAGGAGGAAUACCCAUAGCGAAGGCAGCUUGCUGGGACGUUACUGACGCUGAGGCGCGAAAGCGUGGGGGAGCGAACAGG